Molecule: ribosomal RNA, 459 nt
Filed under: uncultured bacterium
Lineage: Bacteria
Description: partial 16S ribosomal RNA
Rfam family: Bacterial small subunit ribosomal RNA
Source: RNAcentral
CCUACGGGAGGCAGCAGUGAGGAAUAUUGGUCAAUGGUCGUGAGACUGAACCAGCCAAGCCGCGUGAGGGAUGAAGGUACAGAGUAUCGUAAACCUCUUUUGUCAGGGAACAAAGGCGGGGACGUGUCCCCGGAUGAGUGUACCUGAAGAAAAAGCAUCGGCUAACUCCGUGCCAGCAGCCGCGGUAAUACGGUGGAUGCGAGCGUUAUCCGGAUUUAGUGGGUUUAAAGGGUGCGCAGGCGGUCUGUUAGGUCAGCGGACAAAGCCCGGGGCGAAACCCCGGCCCGCCGUUGAAACUGGCAGUCUCGAGUUGGAGAGAAGUAUGCGGAAUGCGCGGUGUAGCGGUGAAAUGCAUAGAUAUCGCGCAGAACUCCGAUUGCGAAGGCAGCAUGCCGGCUCCACACUGACGCUGAGGCACGAAAGCGUGGGUAUCGAACAGGAUUAGAUACCCCUGUAGUC